This 315-nucleotide ribosomal RNA is filed under the name uncultured eukaryote. RNAcentral describes it as "partial 18S ribosomal RNA". It matches the Rfam family "Eukaryotic small subunit ribosomal RNA", at positions 1470 to 1796 of the family's 1831-position model. The record is from RNAcentral.
CCCUUAGAUGUUCUGGGCUGCACGCGCGCUACACUGCCGCACGCAACAGGUGCCUGCUCCGAGAGGACUGGGUAAUCAUUUGAGUGUGCGUCGUGAUGGGGAUAGAAUAUUGUAAUUAUUACUCUUCAACGAGGAAUUCCUAGUAAGCGCCAGUCAGCAGCUUGCGCUGAUUACGUCCCUGCCCUUUGUACACACCGCCCGUCGCUCCUACCGAUGGGUGAUCCGGUGAAUGAUUCGGACUUCAGCGGCUCCCCUGGGGUGCGCCGGAGAAAGUUUUGUGAACCUUAUCACUUGGAGGAAGGAGAAGUCGUAACA